CCUAUGGGUGGCAGCAGUGGGGGAUAUUGCACAAUGGGGGGAACCCUGAUGCAGCGACGCCGCGUGGGUGAAGAAGCGCCUCGGCGCGUAAAGCCCUGUCAGCAGGGAAGAAAAUGACGGUACCUGAAGAAGAAGCCCCGGCUAACUACGUGCCAGCAGCCGCGGUAAUACGUAGGGGGCAAGCGUUAUCCGGAUUUACUGGGUGUAAAGGGAGCGUAGACGGCGCUGCAUGUCCGGAGUGAAAGCCCAUGGCUUAACCAUGGUACUGCUCUGGAAACUGUGGAGCUUGAGUGCGGGAGGGGCAGGCGGAAUUCCUAGUGUAGCGGUGAAAUGCGUAGAUAUUAGGAGGAACACCGGCGGCGAAGGCGGCCUGCUGGACCGUAACUGACGUUGAGGCUCGAAAGCGUGGGGAGCAAACAGGAUUAGAUACCCGAGUAGUC
This 440-nucleotide ribosomal RNA is filed under the name uncultured bacterium. RNAcentral's name for it is "partial 16S ribosomal RNA". It matches the Rfam family "Bacterial small subunit ribosomal RNA", at positions 338 to 795 of the family's 1533-position model. The record is from RNAcentral.